AUUGAACGCUGGCGGCAGGCCUAACACAUGCAAGUCGAACGGUAACAGGGAUCAGCUUGCUGAUUCGCUGACGAGUGGCGGGCGGGUGAGUAAUGUCUGGGAAACUUCCUGAUGGAGGGGGAUAACUACUGGAAACGGUAGCUAAUACCGCAUAACGUCGCCAGACCAAAGAGGGGGACCUUCGGGGCUCUUGCCAUCGGAUGUGCCCAGAUGGGAUUAGCUAGUAGGUGGGGUAACGGCUCACCUAGGCGACGAUCCCUAGCUGGUCUGAGAGGAUGACCAGCCACACUGGAACUGAGACACGGUCCAGACUCCUACGGGAGGCAGCAGUGGGGAAUAUUGCACAAUGGGCGCAAGCCUGAUGCAGCCAUGCCGCGUGUAUGAAGAAGGCCUUCGGGUUGUAAAGUACUUUCAGCGGGGAGGAAGGGAGUAAAGUUAAUACCUUUGCUCAUUGACGUUACCCGCAGAAGAAGCACCGGCUAACUCCGUG
This 490-nucleotide ribosomal RNA is filed under the name uncultured bacterium. RNAcentral describes it as "partial 16S ribosomal RNA". It matches the Rfam family "Bacterial small subunit ribosomal RNA", at positions 30 to 507 of the family's 1533-position model. The record is from RNAcentral.